This 253-nucleotide ribosomal RNA is filed under the name uncultured bacterium. Its description in RNAcentral is "partial 16S ribosomal RNA". It matches the Rfam family "Bacterial small subunit ribosomal RNA", at positions 524 to 776 of the family's 1533-position model. The record is from RNAcentral.
UACGGAGGGCGCAAACGUUGCUCGGAAUCAUUGGGCGUAAAGCGCACGUAGGCGGUCCGUUAAGUCGGAUGUGAAAGCCCUCGGCUCAACCGAGGAAGUGCAUUCGAAACUGGCGGACUUGAGUAUGGGAGAGGGUUGCGGAAUUCUCGGUGUAGAGGUGAAAUUCGUAGAUAUCGGGAGGAACACCAGUGGCGAAGGCGGCAGCCUGGACCAAUACUGACGCUGAGGUGCGAAAGCGUGGGGAGCAAACAGG